UGGUGGAGUGAUUUGUCUGGUUAAUUCCGAUAACGAACGAGACUCCAGCCUACUAAAUAGAUACCGAUUAAUUAGAUCGGUAUACUUCUUAGAGGGACAAGUGGUAUUUAGCCACAUGAGAUUGAGCAAUAACA
Molecule: ribosomal RNA, 134 nt
Filed under: uncultured eukaryote
Lineage: Eukaryota
Description: partial 18S ribosomal RNA
Rfam family: Eukaryotic small subunit ribosomal RNA
Source: RNAcentral